AGCGAACGCUGGCGGCAGGCUUAACACAUGCAAGUCGAGCGGGCAUCCUUGUGGUGUCAGCGGCAGACGGGUGAGUAACGCGUGGGAACGUGCCCUUCGGUUCGGAAUAACUCAGGGAAACUUGAGCUAAUACCGGAUACGUGCGAGAGCAGAAAGGUUUAUCUGCCGAAGGAUCGGCCCGCGUCUGAUUAGCUAGUUGGUGAGGUUACGGCUCACCAAGGCGACGAUCAGUAGCUGGUCUGAGAGGAUGAUCAGCCACACUGGGACUGAGACACAGCCCAGACUCCUACGGGAAGCAGCAGUGGGGAAUAUUGGACAAUGGGGGCAACCCUGAUCCAGCCAUGCCGCGUGAGUGAUGACGGCCUUAGGGUUGUAAAGCUCUUUUCUCCGGGACGAUAAUGACGGUACCGGAGGAAUAAGCCCCGGCUAACUUCGCG
RNAcentral lists this ribosomal RNA (437 nucleotides) under uncultured bacterium. RNAcentral describes it as "partial 16S ribosomal RNA". It matches the Rfam family "Bacterial small subunit ribosomal RNA", at positions 29 to 507 of the family's 1533-position model. The record is from RNAcentral.